GAGAGUUUGAUCCUGGCUCAGGACGAACGCUGGCGGCGUGCCUAACACAUGCAAGUCGAGCGGGAAACAAGAGACUGAUCCCUUCGGGGUGAAGUCUUUUGUGGAGAGCGGCGGACGGGUGAGUAACGCGUGAGUAACCUGCCUGUAAGAGGGGGAUAACACAGAGAAAUCUGUGCUAAUACCGCAUAUUGAAGUUUUUCCGCAUGGGGAAGCUUUGAAAGAUUUAUCGCUUACAGAUGGACUCGCGUCUGAUUAGAUAGUAGGCGGGGUAACGGCCCACCUAGUCGACGAUCAGUAGCCGAACUGAGAGGUUGAUCGGCCACAUUGGGACUGAGACACGGCCCAGACUCCUACGGGAGGCAGCAGUGGGGAAUAUUGCGCAAUGGAGGAAACCCUGACGCAGCAACGCCGCGUGAAGGAUGACGGCCUUCGGGUUGUAAACUUCUGUCGCAGAGGAAGAAGAAAGUGACGGUACUCUGUGAGAAAGCCACGGCUAACUACGUG
This 504-nucleotide ribosomal RNA is filed under the name uncultured Eubacteriales bacterium. Its description in RNAcentral is "bacterial SSU rRNA". It matches the Rfam family "Bacterial small subunit ribosomal RNA", at positions 7 to 507 of the family's 1533-position model. The record is from RNAcentral. Lineage: Bacteria; Bacillati; Bacillota; Clostridia; Eubacteriales.